RNAcentral lists this non-coding RNA (116 nucleotides) under Candidatus Korarchaeum cryptofilum OPF8. RNAcentral describes it as "TPP riboswitch aptamer (THI element)". It matches the Rfam family "TPP riboswitch aptamer (THI element)". From Rfam's summary of the family: Vitamin B(1) in its active form thiamin pyrophosphate (TPP) is an essential coenzyme that is synthesised by coupling of pyrimidine and thiazole moieties in bacteria. The previously detected thiamin-regulatory element, thi box was extended, resulting in a new, highly conserved RNA secondary structure, the THI element, which is widely distributed in eubacteria and also occurs in some archaea. Analysis of operon structures identified a large number of new candidate thiamin-regulated genes, mostly transporters, in various prokaryotic organisms. RNAcentral also lists the same sequence under 1 other name. Lineage: Archaea; Thermoproteati; Thermoproteota; Candidatus Korarchaeia; Candidatus Korarchaeales; Candidatus Korarchaeaceae. The record is from Rfam by way of RNAcentral.
AGAGGGCGCCGGGGGAGCUGGGAGAAACCCGGCUGAGAGGGCAGCUUGUGCGCUGCCGACCCCCCUCGAACCUGAUCCGGGUAAUGCCGGCGUAGGGAGAGCGCCCUUCUCCUUAU